Molecule: ribosomal RNA, 519 nt
Filed under: Enterococcus faecium
Lineage: Bacteria; Bacillati; Bacillota; Bacilli; Lactobacillales; Enterococcaceae
Description: bacterial SSU rRNA
Rfam family: Bacterial small subunit ribosomal RNA
Source: RNAcentral
GGAGUGGCGAACGGGUGAGUAACACGUGGGUAACCUGCCCAUCAGAAGGGGAUAACACUUGGAAACAGGUGCUAAUACCGUAUAACAAUCAAAACCGCAUGGUUUUGAUUUGAAAGGCGCUUUCGGGUGUCGCUGAUGGAUGGACCCGCGGUGCAUUAGCUAGUUGGUGAGGUAACGGCUCACCAAGGCCACGAUGCAUAGCCGACCUGAGAGGGUGAUCGGCCACAUUGGGACUGAGACACGGCCCAAACUCCUACGGGAGGCAGCAGUAGGGAAUCUUCGGCAAUGGACGAAAGUCUGACCGAGCAACGCCGCGUGAGUGAAGAAGGUUUUCGGAUCGUAAAACUCUGUUGUUAGAGAAGAACAAGGAUGAGAGUAACUGUUCAUCCCUUGACGGUAUCUAACCAGAAAGCCACGGCUAACUACGUGCCAGCAGCCGCGGUAAUACGUAGGUGGCAAGCGUUGUCCGGAUUUAUUGGGCGUAAAGCGAGCGCAGGCGGUUUCUUAAGUCUGAUGUGA